This 492-nucleotide ribosomal RNA is filed under the name uncultured bacterium. RNAcentral describes it as "partial 16S ribosomal RNA". It matches the Rfam family "Bacterial small subunit ribosomal RNA", at positions 29 to 507 of the family's 1533-position model. The record is from RNAcentral.
AGUGAACGCUGGCGGCAGGCCUAACACAUGCAAGUCGAACGGCAGCACAGUAAGAGCUUGCUCUUACGGGUGGCGAGUGGCGGACGGGUGAGGAAUACAUCGGAAUCUACUUUUUCGUGGGGGAUAACGUAGGGAAACUUACGCUAAUACCGCAUACGACCUACGGGUGAAAGCAGGGGAUCUUCGGACCUUGCGCGAUUGAAUGAGCCGAUGUCGGAUUAGCUAGUUGGCGGGGUAAAGGCCCACCAAGGCGACGAUCCGUAGCUGGUCUGAGAGGAUGAGCAGCCACACUGGAACUGAGACACGGUCCAGACUCCUACGGGAGGCAGCAGUGGGGAAUUUUGGACAAUGGGGGCAAGCCUGAUCCAGCCAUACCGCGUGGGUGAAGAAGGCCUUCGGGUUGUAAAGCCCUUUUGUUGGGGAAGAAAAGCUGUAGGUUAAUACCCCGCUGUUCUGACGGUACCCAAAGAAUAAGCACCGGCUAACUACGUG